RNAcentral lists this ribosomal RNA (399 nucleotides) under uncultured bacterium. RNAcentral describes it as "bacterial SSU rRNA". It matches the Rfam family "Bacterial small subunit ribosomal RNA", at positions 51 to 443 of the family's 1533-position model. The record is from RNAcentral.
AAACACUGCAGUCGAGCGGGGAAGGUACUACACCUAGCGGCGGACGGGUGAGUAAUGCUUAGGAAUCUGCCAUUUAGUGGGGGACAACAUUCCGAAAGGAAUGCUAAUACCGCAUACGUCCUACGGGAGAAAGCAGGGGAUCUUCGGACCUUGCGCUAAAUGAUGAGCCUAAGUCGGAUUAGCUAGUUGGUGGGGUAAAGGCCUACCAAGGCGACGAUCUGUAGCGGGUCUGAGAGGAUGAUCCGCCAACACUGGUGACUGAUGACACNGCCAGGACUCCUACGGGAGGCAGCAGUUGGGGAAAUAUUUGGACAAUGGGGCGGAAGCCUUGAUCCAAGCCCAUUGCCGCGGUGUUGUUGAAGAAGGGCCCUUUUUGGUUUGUAAAGCACUUUUAAAGCG